AGGCAAAAAUACUGGAGUGGGUUGCCAUUUCCUUCUCCAGGGGAUCUUCCCAACCAAAGGAUUGAAUCUGGGUCUCCUGCAUUGCAGGUGGAUUCUUCACCAUCUGAGCCACCAGGGAAGCCUCCUCUUCCUUUGGAAUCGGCAUUUGGCCCAAUCACACCGAAGACCUGUAUGCGGUUACCUCCUGGACAAUCAUCCACCCGGCAUCCACCUGACCUGCAGCACCCCAGGUGAGGCUGUGCUUCAUGUGAAGCAGGCUCCAACUCUGAUACUCUCUCAGAAUGGCUGUGACUAUAUCCUACAUGCUCAUCCAGAAUCUCGCCCCACUGAUCCAUGAAGAGGGAGAGUCUAUUUCUCAGUCCUUUGAAUCUGGGUGAUUUUGUGAUUGCUGCAAUGAAGACAAUAGAGUGAAAGUGAUGCCGUAUGAUUUCUGAGGCUGGGUCAGAAAAGGUGACGUGGCUGGUGAGCAAUCUCUCUCAUGUAGGGCACUUACCCUUGGAACCCAGCCACCAUCCUGUGAGGAAGCCCAACCAAGCCUGUGAGGGUAGGUUACACAUGGAGAAAAACUGAGGCCUUGAGUCAACAGCCAGCAUCUCCACCACACACGAGAGUAAAUGAGACUUCAGCUGAUUCCAGCCCCCAGCUUUUGAGAGGUUCAGUCUCCUGUACGCUGUCCAAAUUCUUG
Molecule: long non-coding RNA, 685 nt
Filed under: Bos indicus x Bos taurus (hybrid cattle)
Lineage: Eukaryota; Metazoa; Chordata; Mammalia; Artiodactyla; Bovidae
Description: lncRNA (ENSBIXG00005023562.1)
Source: RNAcentral